CGUGCCUAAUACAUGCAAGUCGAACGAAGCUUUCUUUCACCGAAUGCUUGCAUUCACCGAAAGAAGCUUAGUGGCGAACGGGUGAGUAACACGUAGGCAACCUGCCCAAAAGAGGGGGAUAACACUUGGAAACAGGUGCUAAUACCGCAUAACCAUGAACACCGCAUGAUGUUCAUGUAAAAGACGGCUUUUGCUGUCACUUUUGGAUGGGCCUGCGGCGUAUUAACUUGUUGGUGGGGUAACGGCCUACCAAGGUGAUGAUACGUAGCCGAACUGAGAGGUUGAUCGGCCACAUUGGGACUGAGACACGGCCCAAACUCCUACGGGAGGCAGCAGUAGGGAAUCUUCCACAAUGGACGAAAGUCUGAUGGAGCAACGCCGCGUGAAUGAAGAAGGCCUUCGGGUCGUAAAAUUCUGUUGUCAGAGAAGAACGUGCGUGAGAGUAACUGUUCACGUAUUGACGGUAUCUGACCAGAAAGCCACGGCUAACUACGUGCCAGCAGCCGCGGUAAUACGUAGGUGGCGAGCGUUGUCCGGAUUUAUUGGGCGUAAAGGGAACGCAGGCGGUCUUUUAAGUCUGAUGUGAAAGCCUUCGGCUUAACCGAAGUAGUGCAUUGGAAACUGGAAGACUUGAGUGCAGAAGAGGAGAGUGGAACUCCAUGUGUAGCGGUGAAAUGCGUAGAUAUAUGGAAGAACACCAGUGGCGAAAGCGGCUCUCUGGUCUGUAACUGACGCUGAGGUUCGAAAGCGUGGGUAGCAAACAGGAUUAGAUACCCUGGUAGUCCACGCCGUAAACGAUGAGUGCUAAGUGUUGGAGGGUUUCCGCCCUUCAGUGCUGCAGCUAACGCAUUAAGCACUCCGCCUGGGGAGUACGGUCGCAAGACUGAAACU
RNAcentral lists this ribosomal RNA (891 nucleotides) under human gut metagenome. Its description in RNAcentral is "bacterial SSU rRNA". It matches the Rfam family "Bacterial small subunit ribosomal RNA", at positions 43 to 901 of the family's 1533-position model. The record is from RNAcentral.